Molecule: long non-coding RNA, 1006 nt
Organism: Oryza sativa Japonica Group (Japanese rice)
Lineage: Eukaryota; Viridiplantae; Streptophyta; Magnoliopsida; Poales; Poaceae
Source: RefSeq, a predicted model, not a curated record
CAAAAUAGAGAAAGAGCUGUGUAAGUACCAAAAUGCCCCUAGACACGUAUUGUUCUUCCUCUCUCUCCUUUUCUUUUCCCCAUUCUUCCUCGCGACGGCGGCUGUCCCGAGCCGGGAUGGCUCGGCCACGGCGGGACGGCGACGGCGACGCAUCGCCGGGGUUCAUCGCCGACAGCCACCUCCGUCUGCCAGCUCACCCCGUCCCCACCUCUCCUCCCUGCCGUCCUCGCUUCCUGCAACGGCCGGCGCGGGCCGCUGGGGCGCAGACGGAGGUGUCGUGCUCCUGCUGUGGCUGCGAUCCUACCAGUGCUUCCCGACGACGCGGAGGAGUGUGCCGGCGCAGAUCAUCAUCAAACACGACCACACCAGCAGCAGCAGCCAGGGAGGACGCAAAGCAACACCACGGCGCAAAGACGUAAUGCUUUUGCUCCAUUCUUUAGUUUUUACCCAUCAAGGAUGGAGCUUCGUCAUGGCAGCCUAGCGAGGCUGGUUGAUGACACGGGGCGCGCCGCCGCUCCUUGGGCUACCGGCGUACUUGGUGGGCUUCUCGGAGUGUCGGGGCUUCUCCCGGAGCCCCCUCGGGCCGCGGCGCGUCGCCACCCUUGGGAGAGACUAGGCUCAGUGCCUUGAGCACCGCAUCUGCACACACACAUGGAAACAUGGCGAUGAAUUCACCGCACUCCACGACGGCGGCGUGUCUUCCCCGCGCUCGCGCCGCCAACGUCGCAGCUGGAAGCGAACGGGAUGACGACAGCGUGCGCCGGCGGGGAGGGCAGCGAGGAGGCUGGAGAGGGAGUGCUCGCGGAACGGCGACGACGCACGACGGCUCGGCCAUGGCGGAGCUCGGCGGCAGCGCAACGAGAAAAAGAUGAACAGAGAGAGAGGAAGAAGAAGAACAAAGAGAGAUUAACAAGUGGGACUAUGGUCAAACUUGUCUUUAACCAAAGUUUCUCUCUUCAUUUUGACCGGAAAUAAUAAAAUAAUGGAAUGAGUGUCCAGCAGCUAA